AUGUGCGAGGGCGGGCUACCACCGGGGAAGCGUUUGGACUCCUGCAAGGAAGGGUCCCUGACGCCCUGGAACCCUCCGCUCGGGCGCUGGGAGGGCAGGGCAGGGGAGGGGAGGGGAGGGGAGGGGAGGGGAAGGAUGGGGAGAAAGCAGCGGGGCUGCGUGGCCGCUAGGGGGCGCCGGGGAAGAGGGGACGCCUCAACUUCGGGCGACGCCUUUUCCUCGCCGCCUCUCCCCGGGCAGAGAGGGGGCCACCUCCUCGGGGACCAAGGCGCGGCCCGUGGGGACGGAGGCGGAACAGACCCGCACCGCCCAGUCUCGUGCUGUGGCCAUUUCAGCCACCAGGAAAGGCCGGGGAAGCUCUGUCCCUGCGGGCAGCGGGAGACGCGCUUAUGGUCAGGAGCCACCUCAGUUUUUCCAGGUGAGUGGGUGUCCAGGAAGUGCCCCCGGAGUCGCCUCCAGCAGAGUGAGUCACUUACUGGGAAAACGGCAAAAGAAUCUAUUCACCGAGACCGCAGAGACAUUUUGCCCAGCACUUGGAAGCAUGUCUUUUUCCGACGCCGCCUCGGUGUCGUCCGUGGCAAGGGGACCCACCGCAGGGGCCAAGGAAAGGAUUCCUGGCCGUCAAAGAGCCCUUUGGGCAGCAGAGCGUGGCUGGGAUGGUGUCCGCCCCAGGGGGACUCCCCUGCACUUAGAAAGAGAGCAGAGAAUCCUGCGGAGUGGGAGAGAGCGCUGCCUUCACAUGACUCACCGUUUUGA
This 756-nucleotide long non-coding RNA is filed under the name Felis catus (domestic cat). RNAcentral describes it as "lncRNA (ENSFCAG00000049284.1)". Lineage: Eukaryota; Metazoa; Chordata; Mammalia; Carnivora; Felidae. The record is from RNAcentral.